Long non-coding RNA from Myxocyprinus asiaticus (Chinese sucker), 1146 nucleotides. RefSeq lists it as uncharacterized. The record is from RefSeq and is a predicted model, not a curated record. NCBI's taxonomy places the organism in Eukaryota, Metazoa, Chordata, Actinopteri, Cypriniformes, Catostomidae. The transcript has 5 exons.
ACAAGGCGUCGAUCCCAGCGGAGUUUGUCUUUGGGAGAAAUGCCAUCAAAACUGCAUCUGCAACAAAAAAGCAGAGGAAAAAAACACAGGUGGUCCUGCACCUCCACAUUAUACCCCAGCAGAAUUGCUGGCCCUAGGGCUUAAUGUUACCAGACCCAUUGUGCAGGGCACCCCUGGGGGCAGCUCUUCCUCAGACCCACAGCCAGGGAGCAGUAGCAGCAACACUUUCAUUACUGUUAUAGAUAAUACACCAACACCAACACCAACCAGUUCCCAAGCAAGUGGUAAAUUAAGAAAGUGUAGACAGUGAAGAAACCCUUUCAGAUGGCUGUCCUUGGGAAGAAGUACCUGUAAGUGUUAUCUUAAAUUGCAUGUACUCAUGUAGCUGUAAUAUUUCUCAGAGUAAGACUGCAAGAGUCCACAUCAACAGAGAGGCCUACGUCUGCUACUGAGUCUGCACAGAAAAGUGGUACAGAGGCACAGGGUGACAUCCGUUCCUUAUAUAAAAGGAGUCUUGUGACAAAUAUUGAAAAUAUGGAACUUAAAGAGCAAAAACUCCUACAAGAGACUGAAAUUGACAACUUGAGGAAAACAAAAGUUAAACUGGAGAUAGAGUUGCUACAGAGAGAACUUCAGAGUAAGUGCUAAGUCACUUUCACAGAGACUAAUAUUGUUGACUGUACAUAACAAUAUCUCUUAUUGCAGGUAAAAGAUGACUGAUUGCUGCCUUUGACUGGGAGGAAUAAAAAAUACAGAAAUAAAAUACAAAUGGGCCUAAGCAUGUUUGUGUCUUUUUUUCAGAAAGGUCAAUCAAAAAUGGUAUUCCACAAUUCUGUCCCGUGCUGCUCUUCAACUAGUUUGGUCCAGGUGCACUGUCUGGAGGUCAUCAUCAGGUUGCACCUCCAACACAGGGGUCCUCUCUUUUCUGAUGGUGGCAAUGUUGUGUAGUACACAGCAUGCAACAAUAAUGUCGCAGGCCCUGUCAGACUUUUCAGACACUGAAAUCUUCCCUCAGUUGCCCGAAGGUCAUUUCAAUGCGUGCCCUUGUCCUGGCUAGAGCUGCACUGUAAUGGGUUUGUGGACCGGGGUUUGGAUCAGGGAAUGGAAUCAUGAAAUACUGCCUGCAGGCAUAGCCCCUGUCUCCAA